Molecule: ribosomal RNA, 417 nt
Filed under: uncultured bacterium
Lineage: Bacteria
Description: bacterial SSU rRNA
Rfam family: Bacterial small subunit ribosomal RNA
Source: RNAcentral
AGCCAGCAGCCGCGGUAAUACGUAGGGUGCGAGCGUUAAUCGGAAUUACUGGGCGUAAAGCGUGCGCAGGCGGCCUGAUAAGUCAGAUGUGAAAUCCCCGAGCUCAACUUGGGAACUGCGUUUGAAACUAUCAAGCUAGAAUAUGUCAGAGGGGGGUAGAAUUCCACGUGUAGCAGUGAAAUGCGUAGAGAUGUGGAGGAAUACCAAUGGCGAAGGCAGCCCCCUGGGAUAAUAUUGACGCUCAUGCACGAAAGCGUGGGGAGCAAACAGGAUUAGAUACCCUGGUAGUCCACGCCCUAAACGAUGUCUACUAGUUGUUGGUGGAGUAAAAUCCAUGAGUAACGCAGCUAACGCGUGAAGUAGACCGCCUGGGGAGUACGGUCGCAAGAUUAAAACUUAAAGGAAUUGGCGGGGGAC